GCCUUCUUAGUUCAGUGGUUAGAAUUUUUCACUAGUAACCGUCGCUCCAGUGAUCUUCACCAGACGACCUGCUACGAUGAAAGGGUCACCCGUUCAAUUCGGGUAGAAGGCA
Non-coding RNA from Apiotrichum porosum, 112 nucleotides. The record is from the annotation of a RefSeq genome assembly. Lineage: Eukaryota; Fungi; Basidiomycota; Tremellomycetes; Trichosporonales; Trichosporonaceae.